RNAcentral lists this ribosomal RNA (800 nucleotides) under Neobacillus niacini. Its description in RNAcentral is "bacterial SSU rRNA". It matches the Rfam family "Bacterial small subunit ribosomal RNA", at positions 56 to 839 of the family's 1533-position model. Lineage: Bacteria; Bacillati; Bacillota; Bacilli; Caryophanales; Bacillaceae. The record is from RNAcentral.
UGCAGUCGAGCGAAUCUUGAGGUGCUUGCACCUCUUGGUUAGCGGCGGACGGGUGAGUAACACGUGGGCAACCUGCCUGUAAGACUGGGAUAACUUCGGGAAACCGGAGCUAAUACCGGAUAAUCCUUUUCCUCUCAUGAGGAAAAGCUGAAAGUCGGUUUACGCUGACACUUACAGAUGGGCCCGCGGCGCAUUAGCUAGUUGGUGAGGUAACGGCUCACCAAGGCGACGAUGCGUAGCCGACCUGAGAGGGUGAUCGGCCACACUGGGACUGAGACACGGCCCAGACUCCUACGGGAGGCAGCAGUAGGGAAUCUUCCGCAAUGGACGAAAGUCUGACGGAGCAACGCCGCGUGAGCGAUGAAGGCCUUCGGGUCGUAAAGCUCUGUUGUUAGGGAAGAACAAGUACCGGAGUAACUGCCGGUACCUUGACGGUACCUAACCAGAAAGCCACGGCUAACUACGUGCCAGCAGCCGCGGUAAUACGUAGGUGGCAAGCGUUGUCCGGAAUUAUUGGGCGUAAAGCGCGCGCAGGCGGUCCUUUAAGUCUGAUGUGAAAGCCCACGGCUCAACCGUGGAGGGUCAUUGGAAACUGGGGGACUUGAGUACAGAAGAGGAAAGCGGAAUUCCACGUGUAGCGGUGAAAUGCGUAGAGAUGUGGAGGAACACCAGUGGCGAAGGCGGCUUUCUGGUCUGUAACUGACGCUGAGGCGCGAAAGCGUGGGGAGCAAACGGGAUUAGAUACCCUGGUAGUCCACGCCGUAAACGAUGAGUGCUAAGUGUUAGAGGGUUUCCGCCCU